GGCGAACGCUGGCGGCGUGCUUAACACAUGCAAGUCGAACGGUGAAGCGCCUUCCUUUUUGGUGGGUGUGGAUGAGUGGCGAACGGGUGAGUAACACGUGAGUAACCUGCCCCCUUCUUCUGGAUAACCGCAUGAAAGUGUGGCUAAUACGGGAUAUUCUGGGUCUGUCGCAUGAUGGGUCUGGGAAAGAUAUUGUUUCGGUGGGGGAUGGGCUCGCGGCCUAUCAGCUUGUUGGUGGGGUGAUGGCCUACCAAGGCGGUGACGGGUAGCCGGCCUGAGAGGGUGGGCGGUCACACGGGGACGGAGACACGGCCCAGACUCCUACGGGAGGCAGCAGUGGGGAAUAUUGCACAAUGGGCGCAAGCCUGAUGCAGCGACGCCGCGUGAGGGAUGGAGGCCUGCGGGUUGUGAACCUCUUUCGCCAGUGAAGCAGGCCUGCCUCGUUUGUGGGUGGGUUGACGGUAGCUGGAUAAGAAGCGCCGGCUAACUACGUG
Molecule: ribosomal RNA, 494 nt
Filed under: uncultured bacterium
Lineage: Bacteria
Description: partial 16S ribosomal RNA
Rfam family: Bacterial small subunit ribosomal RNA
Source: RNAcentral